UACGUAGGGUGCGAGCGUUAAUCGGAAUUACUGGGCGUAAAGCGUGCGCAGGCGGUUUUGUAAGACAGAUGUGAAAUCCCCGGGCUUAACCUGGGAACUGCAUUUGUGACUGCAAGACUAGAGUGCGGCAGAGGGGGGUAGAAUUCCACGUGUAGCAGUGAAAUGCGUAGAUAUGUGGAGGAAUACCGAUGGCGAAGGCAGCCCCCUGGGAUAACACUGACGCUCAUGUACGAAAGCGUGGGUAGCAAACAGG
This 253-nucleotide ribosomal RNA is filed under the name uncultured bacterium. RNAcentral describes it as "partial 16S ribosomal RNA". It matches the Rfam family "Bacterial small subunit ribosomal RNA", at positions 524 to 776 of the family's 1533-position model. The record is from RNAcentral.